GAUGAACGCUGGCGGCGUGCCUAAUACAUGCAAGUCGAGCGAACAGACGAGGAGCUUGCUCCUCUGACGUUAGCGGCGGACGGGUGAGUAACACGUGGAUAACCUACCUAUAAGACUGGGAUAACUUCGGGAAACCGGAGCUAAUACCGGAUAAUAUAUUAAACCGCAUGGUUCAAUAGUGAAAGACGGUUUUGCUGUCACUUAUAGAUGGAUCCGCGCCGCAUUAGCUAGUUGGUAAGGUAACGGCUUACCAAGGCGACGAUGCGUAGCCGACCUGAGAGGGUGAGCGGCCACACUGGAACUGAGACACGGUCCAGACUCCUACGGGAGGCAGCAGUAGGGAAUCUUCCGCAAUGGGCGAAAGCCUGACGGAGCAACGCCGCGUGAGUGAUGAAGGUCUUCGGAUCGUAAAACUCUGUUAUUAGGGAAGAACAAAUGUGUAAGUAACUAUGCACGUCUUGACGGUACCUAAUCAGAAAGCCACGGCUAACUACGUG
This 497-nucleotide ribosomal RNA is filed under the name uncultured bacterium. RNAcentral's name for it is "partial 16S ribosomal RNA". It matches the Rfam family "Bacterial small subunit ribosomal RNA", at positions 28 to 507 of the family's 1533-position model. The record is from RNAcentral.